Centrocercus urophasianus (Greater sage-grouse) is the source of this 1953-nucleotide long non-coding RNA. RefSeq lists it as uncharacterized. The transcript is spliced from 3 exons. The record is from RefSeq and is a predicted model, not a curated record. Lineage: Eukaryota; Metazoa; Chordata; Aves; Galliformes; Phasianidae.
GGUGCUGGCAUGGGGAGUUUGGACUUGGGUCCCGUUGAGGUCUGAAGUGCCAGGUUGAGGGGUUCUUGGUGGGAUUUGAGAAACUAAGAUGGGGUGAGUUGUUUGGGGAAUGCUGUCAGGGAUCAGGGUGCCAGGCUGGAGGAGGUCCUGGUAGGGUUUGGGGUGCCAGGAUAGGGAAUGGUACAGGUAUCCCUUUGGGGAUUGAGGUUGGAGGGUCCCGGUGAAGUUUGUGGUGCAGUGAUGAGGAGUUUGGGCUGCGGUCCCAGUGGGGUUUGGGGUGCUGAGCUGGGGAUUCUGUUGAGGAUGGGGAGUGCCAAACUGGAGACAUCCCAGGAGAGCUUAGUGUGCUGAGAUGGGGAGAGUGAAUGAGGGUCCUGAUGGGUUUGGAGGUACAGGGAUGGAAAGGACAUAGAGCAUUCUUGAGGCUUUUUGGGUGCCAAGUCAGGGAGGAAGGUGGGGGUCCCACGAGGAAUCAGGGGGGAUUCUACCUGUGACAGAAUGAUCUGAUACACUGCAGGGUCUACCGAUGGGUGCACUUAUCUUCUGAGAGAACUGAGGUCACGCGGCUGAGUUUUCCUCCUUGACUUCAAGACACAGGAACUUGCAUUCAGCUACAAAACCAGGCGGACUGCAAAUCUCAUCAUAUCAUAUGACUCCAAGCAAUAGCCUUAAAGUCAAUGCAGUUUUUGAAGAACCAUUUCCAAGAACUGGUUGCUGGAUGACCAUUUUUCACCUGGGAAUUGCCUCAGGCUCUUUUUGCCCAAGUAUUACACACUCAAGACAUUUGAACUAGAUGGAUAUUUCUUAACAUUUCAUUUUCUAUGGAUAUCCUGCAAAUUAUUCAUCAAAGACAGUAUUUGGGAUGCAUCAGCAGACUGUGUGUACGUGUACAAAGGAAGGUUUUCCCAAGGCUCCAUCUCGCCAGUUGUGCAUUCUGCACUCCUGCCAGCCAGCAGUGAUGGUUUCUCCCUGCUGCUCCACUCAGCAAUGGAAAGUUAUCUGAAGCCUUAUUUUCAAAUGCUGAAACUUUUACAAGAGAGCCCAGUAUGUGUGAAAACACACAGGCUAUAAAAGGGAUGAAGAGAAAAAUCCUGAUUUCACCCCUUCCUGCCCCUCAUUGCAGAGAGAGGCAGCAAUCCCUUAGUGGUUAUUUGUACUCGACACUUUACUGUGAAAGCACAGCCUUGGUUUACCAAAAGCAUGAUUUGCACUUCAAAAUACUUGGAUUUUUAAAACCUGUGCAAAUAGCCCCUAAGGCUUGGCUGUGUUGGUGGUAGAGUCUGUGGGCUCUGGCUCCUAAAUUCUGUUACAUUAUUAUAGCAACUAAGAUGUCCCACAGCUGUCUCCAUACCUUUUGCCCCCCAAGGAUUUCUAUCUCUCUGUAGAGGUAAAGAGGUGUAGGAUCCCGUUUGAAUCUGGAGAGGGAAAGGUAGAGGGAGAGCGAUUGGGAGAGGGAGGGGGAAAGGAUCACUUGUUUUUCCCAAAGCCUUGGUUGAAUAAAAGCCUGGAGAGGUCUGUCUUUGUGACCUUACAGAAAUAUGGAUGAUGGUUGUAUACUUGCAAUCAAAAAAGCCAAGACACUCCAGUAGUUUCAGGUAGUAAGGGAUGCAAAAAGCAAUCCUGGCAAUUUUGUGCAUGUGAAAGGAAGGAUGGAGUAAAUCUCUGAAUUCUCAGAGGGAAAAAAAUCAAAUACUGGAAACCACAGAAAAUACUUACUAUAUUUUUUUUCUCUUUAAAGAAGGAUUAGCCAGGCCGCACUGGCAAGUAAAAUUGGUUUAUAAAGAGCAGAGCAGAGACAGAACAGGACAAGAAUGUGUCAGAAGAUGAGAUUGAGGUAAAUCUGAGGUGUGUCAGAGCCUGAAGAAACCUGUGCAGGAAGAGCUAUGAAGUGAGGCCAGGGCAGCUGACCUAAACCCAUACUGUAGGGUGUUAAACUUGGCAGUAAAAAUGAGG